UUGCCUCAGUAACGGCGAGUGAAGCGGCAACAGCUCAAAUUUGAAAUCUGGCCUUCGGGUCCGAGUUGUAAUUUGUAGAGGAUGCUUUUGGCGCGGUGCCUUCCGAGUUCCCUGGAACGGGACGCCUUAGAGGGUGAGAGCCCCGUACGGUUGGAAGCCAAGCCUCUGUAAAGCUCCUUCGACGAGUCGAGUAGUUUGGGAAUGCUGCUCUAAAUGGGAGGUAAAUUUCUUCUAAAGCUAAAUAUUGGCCAGAGACCGAUAGCGCACAAGUAGAGUGAUCGAAAGAUGAAAAGCACUUUGAAAAGAGGGUUAAAUAGCACGUGAAAUUGUUGAAAGGGAAGCGUUUGCGACCAGACCUUCUCCUGGGGGAUCAUCCGGUGUUCUCACCGGUGCACUUCCCCAGGUCUAGGCCAGCAUCGGUUUCCGCAGGGGGAUAAAAGCUCUGGGAACGUAGCUCCUUCGGGAGUGUUAUAGCCCUCCGCAUAAUACCCUUGCGGGGACCGAGGACCGCGCUUCGGCAAGGAUGCUGGCGUAAUGGUCGUCAACGACCCGUCUUGAAACACGGACCAAGGAGUCGAACAUUUGUGCGAGUGUUUGGGUGUCAAACCCUCACGCGUAAUGAAAGUGAACGGAGGUGAGAGCCCUUACGGGUGCAUCAUCGACCGAUCCUGAUGUCUUCGGAUGGAUUUGAGUAAGAGCAUAACUGUUCGGACCCGAAAGAUGGUGAACUAUGCGUGGAUAGGGUGAAGCCAGAGGAAACUCUGGUGGAGGCUCGCAGCGGUCUGACGUGCAAAUCGAUCGUCAAAUCUGCGCAUGGGGCGAAAGACUAUCGAA
This 834-nucleotide ribosomal RNA is filed under the name Astrocystis mirabilis. Its description in RNAcentral is "eukaryotic LSU rRNA". It matches the Rfam family "Eukaryotic large subunit ribosomal RNA", at positions 75 to 939 of the family's 3401-position model. The record is from RNAcentral. Lineage: Eukaryota; Fungi; Ascomycota; Sordariomycetes; Xylariales; Xylariaceae.